CAGCCGCCGCGGGAAUACGUAGGUGGCAAGCGUUGUCCGGAAUUAUUGGGCGUAAAGCGCGCGCAGGCGGAUCAGUUAGUCUGUCUUAAAAGUUCGGGGCUUAACCCCGUGAUGGGAUGGAAACUGCUGAUCUAGAGUAUCGGAGAGGAAAGUGGAAUUCCUAGUGUAGCGGUGAAAUGCGUAGAUAUUAGGAAGAACACCAGUGGCGAAGGCGACUUUCUGGACGAAAACUGACGCUGAGGCGCGAAAGCCAGGGGAGCGAACGGGAUUAGAUACCCGCGUAGUCCCUGUCUCUUAUACC
Molecule: ribosomal RNA, 301 nt
Filed under: uncultured bacterium
Lineage: Bacteria
Description: partial 16S ribosomal RNA
Rfam family: Bacterial small subunit ribosomal RNA
Source: RNAcentral